AAAAGGGAAUUCCAACCUGUGGAACCUUGGGGGGUCCCCGGGGUCGGCGCCUUCCCAUUGACUGUGGGCGGUGCAAGGGACGGAGCCUCUGGCGGCUCGUGGGGGUGUUGGGGUCCGCAGGGGGAGGGAGGGGAGUGUCAGAGUGUGAGCGGGGUACGGGAAUUCCAAAUUUGAGGGCCUCCCGGCUCUGGCGCCGGGGAGGGAGAGCUCAGGCCGCCAUGCGGGACAGGACCCACGAGCUGAGACAGGGGGAUGACAGCUCGGACGAAGAGGACAAGGAGCGGGUCGCGCUGGUGGUGCACCCGGGCACGGCACGGCUGGGGAGCCCGGACGAGGAGUUCUUCCACAAGGUCCGGACAAUUCGGCAGACUAUUGUCAAACUGGGGAAUAAAGUCCAGGAGUUGGAGAAACAGCAGGUCACCAUCCUGGCCACGCCCCUUCCCGAGGAGAGUGAGUGAAACCCCGGCUGCAGGGCGCAUGCUCCGCCCCAGGGAUUGUGGGGGUUGUAGUUCCAUGCAGGUGGUGGCCAGAGUGGUUUGUUGAGGUGGGGGCUGCUGUUUGGGAGUCUUGGCCUUCUCUUAUUCAGGCAUGAAGCAGGAGCUGCAGAACCUGCGCGAUGAGAUCAAACAGCUGGGGAGGGAGAUCCGCCUGCAGCUGAAGGGUGAGCUCCUGGGACCUCAGACAGAUCCUUCCCUCUGAUCCUGCCCUGUUGUUGGUAUAUCUGGGGAGUGUGUGGCCCAGAGAAGCCAGUGAUAUAUCCAGGUCACACAGCAGGCCUGGGUCUAGCAUCUCUGUCUCCUGGCCUCCAGGCCAUUGUACUCUCCACAGCACAAGUCCGCCUCUCAGGUUCUUUUAUUUACAAUGAAACCAUUUACUUACACAGUUAUCGCUGCCCACUGGGCAUUCUUUGGGCAGGGAGAUGGAGUUUUGUUAGGUGGCCUCUGCAUACCUAUGGGAACUCAGUGAUGUAAUGCAAAGAAAAAUAAACUUACUUUCUCCUCUUA
Molecule: small RNA, 1004 nt
Filed under: Pan troglodytes (chimpanzee)
Lineage: Eukaryota; Metazoa; Chordata; Mammalia; Primates; Hominidae
Description: retained intron
Source: RNAcentral